AGAGUUUGAUCCUGGCUCAGAAUUAACGCUGGCAGCGUGCAUAACACAUGCAAGUCGAGCGGGACUGUUUGCGAUUACAUCAAGAGCAGUUUAGCGGCAGACGAGUGAGUAACACGUAAGAAAUCUACCCCAAAGUAGGGAACAACUUGCCGAAAGGUAAGCUAAUACCCUAUAUAAUCCCGAGUUGGCAUCUACUUGGG
This 200-nucleotide ribosomal RNA is filed under the name uncultured bacterium. RNAcentral describes it as "partial 16S ribosomal RNA". It matches the Rfam family "Bacterial small subunit ribosomal RNA", at positions 8 to 200 of the family's 1533-position model. The record is from RNAcentral.